Molecule: ribosomal RNA, 777 nt
Filed under: uncultured Hyphomicrobiales bacterium
Lineage: Bacteria; Pseudomonadati; Pseudomonadota; Alphaproteobacteria; Hyphomicrobiales
Description: bacterial SSU rRNA
Rfam family: Bacterial small subunit ribosomal RNA
Source: RNAcentral
AGAGUUUGAUCCUGGCUCAGGACGAACGCUGACGGUGUGCUUUAGGCAUGCAAGUCGAACGAGAAAGCCCUUCGGGGUGAGUAAAGUGGCGAACGGGUGAGUAACACGUGGGCAACCUGCCCCUCGCAGGGGGACAACCGGAGGAAACUCCGGCUAAUACCCCGUAAGCUCUACACGCCGCAUGGCGAGUAGAGGAAAGGUAGCUUCGGCCAUCCGGCGAGGGAUGGGCCCGCGGUGCAUUAGCUAGUUGGUGGGGUAACGGCCCACCAAGGCGACGAUCCGUAGCUGGUCUGAGAGGAUGACCAGCCACACUGGGACUGAGACACGGCCCAGACUCCUACGGGAGGCAGCAGUGGGGAAUAUUGGACAAUGGGCGAAAGCCUGAUCCAGCCAUGCCGCGUGAGUGAUGAAGGCCCUAGGGUUGUAAAGCUCUUUCACCCACGACGAUAAUGACGGUAGUGGGAGAAGAAGCCCCGGCUAACUUCGUGCCAGCAGCCGCGGUAAUACGAAGGGGGCUAGCGUUGCUCGGAAUCACUGGGCGUAAAGGGCGCGUAGGCGGCCGAUCAAGUCAGGGGUGAAAGCCUGUGGCUCAACCACAGAAUGGCCUUUGAUACUGUUCGGCUCGAGACCGGAAGAGGUUGGUGGAACUGCGAGUGUAGAGGUGAAAUUCGUAGAUAUUCGCAAGAACACCGGUGGCGAAGGCGGCCAACUGGUCCGGUUCUGACGCUGAGGCGCGAAAGCGUGGGGAGCAAACAGGAUUAGAUACCCCCGUAGUCC